UCCCUAAACUAGCCUAUAACACAAAUUUUUUUCAAGCUUAUCGAGUAUCGAUCAUCUAUAUUCAUUCUUUCGAGAGAGUGAGUGACUGUGACUGAGCAUAUUUUCUAUUUUUUUAACGUAAAAGUAUAUAACGUGUAGAUUAAUUUGAAAAAAUAUUUUGUCUAUUUUGAGAAGAAAAUAGACCAGAAAUACUGUUAAUGAUUACGGUUCUCACAGUGGCCGGGGUGUAUUUGUUUUUGUGUUUGAAGAAUAUUGCCGGAUUUCGGCAAGUAUAACAUUGUUCCCUUUUAUUGGGUACUUAACCUCCAUUCCAUAUUAACAGUUUUCUACAAGUUUUGAAUCAUUUUACUUAGUCAUGUGUUUAUUGAAAGCAUAAUGAAAAACGAUUAUAUAUCAUAGUUUGCAUUGUUUAUAUACGCAGUAUUUCAUUUCUAUUCCAGACAAUUUUUGUUAUCACAUAAUUCCACAAUUGUGAACAAAGGAUCCAAGAUAUAUAGAAGCUCAGGAGCUUCUUAUCAGGGAAAGUUGAUUAAAUACUGGAUAUAUGCUAGGUAAUCAUAUACCAACAAAGUAAUAAGAAUUGAUAGUUCAAGGAUUAAAGCUUCGCUGCAAAAUUUUGAAUUUCCAUUUGCUUAUGAAACCUCAAUAACUUUUUCUUUCAAGAUUAGGAGCAAGCCGUGAUUUGUUUUUUCUCUGAAGCUUUCUACUUGAAAACAGAAUCUGAAUAAUGAUUGAUGAGUUGAAUAUUGUAAAAUUGAAUAAGUCAUAAUAUAUUCAGAAAAUCUUGUGCUUCAUGUCUAUUUCAAAGUUUGUCUCCUUUAUUUGGCUAGGAAUCUUUGGUGCGUAUAAUAACAUAGUGAUGUGAUAUUAUUGGGUUCAUUACACUUGGAAUUGUUUUUACAUUAUUUUUUAAUUUUUGCCAAGUGUUCAUUAUAAAAAAAAGUUGGAAAAUAUAAAAAAUUUAUUGUUGACAUAUUAGUGUACUCUAUUUGUAAGUUACGAAUAAAGAUU
Long non-coding RNA from Phymastichus coffea, 1011 nucleotides. RefSeq lists it as uncharacterized. NCBI's taxonomy places the organism in Eukaryota, Metazoa, Arthropoda, Insecta, Hymenoptera, Eulophidae. The record is from RefSeq and is a predicted model, not a curated record. The transcript is spliced from 4 exons.